This 3389-nucleotide long non-coding RNA is filed under the name Brassica napus (rape). Its description in RNAcentral is "long non-coding RNA (BNAP_LNC005209)". Lineage: Eukaryota; Viridiplantae; Streptophyta; Magnoliopsida; Brassicales; Brassicaceae. The record is from RNAcentral.
CCUCCUUAUGUUAUCCCUGUUGUUGACAAUACCCUCAAGUUUCGCUAUCUUCUCGAGUGCACCACGGAUCUGAAUCUCGCCGUCUGUCUCAGUCUUGACGAUGUGAGCUCUCAGUCCCUGGACUUCGCGGUCAGCAAGGGCAAGGUCUUCCUUGAGAGCAACGUAGCUAGCAGCGAGUUUGCGGUUGUCACUAGAGAGACGGUCAAUCUCAGCAGCUCGAGCUGCAAUCUUGUUUUCAAGAACGUCGGAAUGGGAGACCCGGUGGUCGGAAGCGGAAGAGAUGGUCUCGUGGUGCCGGGAUGAUGAUGAUGAUGACAUGCCUCGGCUAUAAUGCUUAGAUGAACCUAGCCUCUCCCUUGAAGACAUAUCUGCAAGCCAAGUGUGAUGGAGGAAGCUUGAUUCAAUACAAAGCUAGCUACUUUAUGUGGCAAUGAGAUUCAGCAAUCGAAGAAGAAGCUAGAAGAAACCCAGAAACAAGGGGAAUCAACAAGAGCAGAACUCUAACUAGCGAAAGGAGACAAUCAAUUUCCUAAGAACCCCUGAUCACACGAACCUGAAAUUCACAGGAAGAGAUAGAAAUCCAACACAAGAAGACUAGGAUCGAUUACACCACCACCAACUCUGGUCUCCGCUUGAUUAAUUGUUCCAACUAUUAUUUGUUUCUGCUCUUGCAGCGCAAUCACAAAGUGGGCUGGGCUUAUGUUAAUCCAUCAAGGCCCAUUAGGUUCUGACCAUUAGUUUCAUUUUCAUCCAUGGUUGUCACGUGAGCUGCAUCACGUCACCAAUCUUUUAAUGAUCUGAUCGCUGUCUGAAUCCUCUUGCACAAAAAGCUUACUUGUACUCUGAAAUACAGUGUCAGAGGCGAUGGAGACGGAGAUGGAGUUCUCCGAUGUUGAGCAAACCUAGUGAUAAGUAUAAAAGGAAUGGUCUUUAUGGGACCUCAUGCAUUGGGUUAGAGAAUGGGAUCGAGAGGAAAAGACAGGAACAGGAACAUGAACAGCUGCCUGGUUAAUAUAUCUUUAUCUCUAACGGCAGAACAAAACCUGAUUGCUACCGUUACCGUGUAUCAAAACCAGGGAUGAAAGCUUUUCCUCUAUGACUUUGAGAAGAGACUUCUUUAUGGUUGGUAUCUAUGGAAGCUACUAUUGGCGGCAAGUUGGAUAUAGAAUCACAAGCUUUUGACAAGAAAUAUCCUGCUCAGGUAUUUACCUCUUUAGAUUAAUCUCAACUGAAUGUGACUAUGAUUAUUAUUCUUGGUUUCGGCAGGUUGGAUUUGGAAUUGUUAACAACUGUUAUCCCUUGCCAAAAAGCAUUUUCAAGUCUGCUAUCUAUGAGAAGUACAAAGGCUGCCACAAGUUUAAGCAAGAACUUGCUCCUCACCAAGUAAUACACUCACUCUUCCUUUCGAUUUACAACACAUGUCUCCAAAGUGCCAGGCUGAACAAAAGGAUCAUGGAUUUUCUCCGGUUACCAACAAAGAUCUGGGCAUCACAAUUCAGCACAAGAACUAGUCAUAAGCUUUAUGCAGAUGUCUUCUUCAACUUCACCAUAUCCAAACCUGCAUCACUUCCCAUAUAUAUAUUCUGUCUUCAUAAUGGGCUCGUUCUCGUUUUAAAAGGCUUAGGCUAUUGGGUCCUCCUAGCAUAAAACCAUUAAUAGCUUCAGGGUUUAAGGUUUAAACCUUCUUCUUCUUCUUUUGGAAAACAACAAUAAAAAUGCAGAGAGGAAAGGUGCUUGUGCAAAUCUCACAGUCUCUCGACUUGGCGUAACCAAAACCUCUUGAUGAUGACGAUCCUCUCUACGCCGAUGUACCUAAGCCUCGGAAGGAUUAAUCGGAGAGGAAGCCUAAUCAGACUCCAAUGAAGGAGGAGAAACAGCUGAGGAAAUCACAGCCAGGGUUACUCUCCGGCCUCUCCGAGCAGAUACAAUUGAGUAUCAGCUUUAGUAGAGUCAGGCCCGGCUCAGAAUAUAUUUAGGCCCUGUGCACAAACAAAUUUUUAGGGCCCUUUCUUAUACAAAUCAAAAAAAAUUAGGGCCCUUUUUUUGUGUGUUCAAAAAAACAAAAAUGACCUUUUCAUAUAAAAAAUUAAAACUGUAUGACUCUAAAUAUACAAAAAAUGAUGAGAACCUGUGCCAAAGCACCGUCCGCACACGUCCAGAGCCGGCGCUGAGUAGAGUGUGGAAUCAUAUGGACUACUUUCUCAAUAAAACUAUGUGUGCUUGCUUUGUUUAUGAUUUAGCCUUUUUGAUUUUUCAUGUUUAUGUUAUAGUAAUGUGUUUUCUUUAGUGUUCAAUGAAGUUCAAACCUAGAGUUAUCCACGACGAGAGGUUUACCGUCCCUAAAAUCUAUGCGCUUCUUGAGUUAUGCAUACAAGCAGGAGUAGGUAGAGAUUGACAAGUUCCCAUCGAAGAGAAGAUCCACCAAACCUGUGAACAGCAUUGAAGGACGGAUUGUAGAUUUCGAGGACGUUUAUGGGAAAGCUCCUGCGGCUGUGUGUGCAAGGUGGUGCACCUGUGCCUGAAGAGUACAAGAGUAUGAUGAGGCUCGAUGUGAAGUUGAUCUAGUUGCUUAACCUUUCUAUGAGACUGUUGAUUGAUGUGAAAAAGAUAAACUCAUGUUAUAUAUAUUACGAAAAUUCAGAACACAGUUUUGGUUGGUUCUUUUGCAUCUCUCCCUAAAUAGAAAAGAGAGACCCUCUUUUGAGUCUCAAGCUCUACUCCUUGCGGUUGCGAUCUCACUUCGCAGCUUCUCAAUAGCUUUGACUGCUCCGAUAAUGUUACUCUCCAUCUCUUUCAAUUGCUCAAGUUUCUCUACGUUACGGCUCUUCUCGGCAUCAAACUCUUCCCUGCUCCAUUGAAACCAAAAAUGAUUAAACCAACUGACGAUGAUGAAUCUUUUGACAAGUAAAAGACGUUUCCUUUUACCUUAAUCUCUGGUGCUCUUCUUUCAACCGCUCAAGCUCUUGAACUGAAGACUCUAGACCCUCCGACUCGAGGCAGACCUUCUUCAACUCCUUUACUGCCGCCUUCACCUGUGCAGCUAGCUCCUCGCGUUCUCUGGCUAAUGUAUGAGCCUCAAUGUGAGCUGAUUGCAGCUCCCUCCUUAUGUUAUCCCUGUUGUUGACAAUACCCUCAAGUUUCGCUAUCUUCUCGAGUGCACCACGGAUCUGAAUCUCGCCGUCUGUCUCAGUCUUGACGAUGUGAGCUCUCAGUCCCUGGACUUCGCGGUCAGCAAGGGCAAGGUCUUCCUUGAGAGCAACGUAGCUAGCAGCGAGUUUGCGGUUGUCACUAGAGAGACGGUCAAUCUCAGCAGCUCGAGCUGCAAUCUUGUUUUCAAGAACGUCGGAAUGGGAGACCCGGUGGUCGGAAGCGGAAGAGAUGGUCUCGUG